RNAcentral lists this small RNA (29 nucleotides) under Bombyx mori (domestic silkworm). Its description in RNAcentral is "ovarian small RNA-32117". Lineage: Eukaryota; Metazoa; Arthropoda; Insecta; Lepidoptera; Bombycidae. The record is from RNAcentral.
UGAGAAGAAAGAACUCUGUCAAACUUAGA